This is a long non-coding RNA of Rhinolophus ferrumequinum (greater horseshoe bat), 1588 nucleotides long. RefSeq lists it as uncharacterized. The record is from RefSeq and is a predicted model, not a curated record. The transcript has 3 exons. Lineage: Eukaryota; Metazoa; Chordata; Mammalia; Chiroptera; Rhinolophidae.
CAUUCCAGGAUCCUUUGGCAUCUGCUUCACUUCAUUGUUCUCUCAUUUUUCAUUUUUUCACAUAGACUAGGCUAAUUAACUGCAGCAUUACGGGAAAAGAUCAUUGUAAGGAACCCGACCUAUGACUCAGUUGCCUCACUACCCUUUUCAUGCAUGGUGACAUCUCACAUGGGGACAUCGUCUGUCUUCAAAUGGACCUCCAGGGACCCUGAAAUUUGCUUCCUGCCACUAAGAUUUAGCAAAAAUUAAAGGAAAUAGAAUUUCUACAUAUGAGUCUCCUCGAAUUCGGAAGCCAAGGAAAUAUUUUCUACCAUUGCUAGAGACAGACUGAAGAGAACCCUACUCUGAACAACCAGAUUUUUGUGAAGAAUGUGGAGCAACAUUGGAUAACAAUUACCUUUCAGGAGAUAUGUCCAAGGACUCCUCACUGCCUUCUAGGUCAUUGUCUUAUCAGAGGUAGAUGUAAAAUUUAACAAAUUAGGGCUGAAUUGUGAGCUUUGGUAAAUAUGCUUGGUAUUGAUACUCAGGGGUAUUAGUGCUGCUUUAAAUUCUGCAUUCUUAGCUCUUAUCUCUUGCCCAUUCUUUUUAUGUGACCUGAUCUCAGUCUGUCUGAAUAUCUCUUUUUCUUUCUCUCUCUUUCUCUUCUCAAUAGACCUUAAAUAAUUAAAAACAUGGUGUAACAUGAAACCCAUUAUUUUUAAUAGUUUUUUUUCGCCCUUUUGUGGUAGAUCUUUAGUGGAGGAAAGAGUAGUUAGGGCCAGCUCUAACAGUACACCUGUUACCCUUAUUAGUCAGGGCAUGAUUUAUAUUUUAGAUAUUCCUAAGGAUAAAAAUUACAUAAUUCCCAAACUAUCAGCUUUAGCUCACUUGAUCAGGAGAUUGACUAGAGAGAUGAACUUGGAGGAGAAUUCUGUAGUAAUUUGAGGUUCCUUGAUCAGAUACAUUUGCUAACUGUGUUGAGAGAUCAGCCCAGGCUCUCAAAUGACAAAACAUAAGAAUUGGUGAAGAAUUUUUAUAAAAAUUUGAUUAUCUAUCAAAAAGUAAAAUAACCUCUGAGAAUUAUAACCUGUACCUACCCUGGUAUUUUAAAUACUUGAUGGACAUCUUUGUUCAUUAUUGCAUGGACAAGUGUUUUUCAUAGUUGAUUUAUGUGAGGGACAGAAAUAAUUUAUUUAAAUACCCCAAAGAAGUCAUAAUAGGCUUUCAAACCUAUAAUGGGUUGUCAAGAAAAAUAGGUUACUAAUAAUCUACAAUUAAACAGUGCAAUAAGAAAAGGCAGAGUUAAAAAAGACUUUAAACAUGGGCAUUGCCCAACAAUAUAUUCUACCUAAAGCUAAAUGACCAUCAGGCAUGGAUACUGCACAGUAUAGUCUCACACUGGUUGGGAGGCUGUAUUAGAAGAUGUUUACUCAGUUUGCUUAACACUGUCUGAUAAAGUUUCCAAAUUCCUUGCCAUUUGCUGUGGACAAGCUUGGACAAUGCAAUGUUCAAAAUUGAAUAUAAUAUUGUAGAUAUGCUCUGGCUAGGGAAGAAUACAAAAUUACUAAUAUACAAAUGAUCUUUUAUUAAAGUACUCCAAAAUUAUGUU